RNAcentral lists this ribosomal RNA (497 nucleotides) under uncultured bacterium. RNAcentral's name for it is "partial 16S ribosomal RNA". It matches the Rfam family "Bacterial small subunit ribosomal RNA", at positions 28 to 507 of the family's 1533-position model. The record is from RNAcentral.
GAUGAACGCUGGCGGCGUGCCUAAUACAUGCAAGUCGAGCGUACAGACGAGGAGCUUGCUCCUCUGACGUUAGCGGCGGACGGGUGAGUAACACGUGGAUAACCUACCUAUAAGACUGGGAUAACUUCGGGAAACCGGAGCUAAUACCGGAUAAUAUAUUGAACCGCAUGGUUCAAUAGUGAAAGACGGUUUUGCUGUCACUUAUAGAUGGAUCCGCGCCGCAUUAGCUAGUUGGUAAGGUAACGGCUUACCAAGGCGACGAUGCGUAGCCGACCUGAGAGGGUGAUCGGCCACACUGGAACUGAGACACGGUCCAGACCCCUACGGGAGGCAGCAGUAGGGAAUCUUACGCAAUGGGCGAGAGCCUGACGGAGCAACGCCGCGUGAGUGAUGAAGGUCUUCGGAUCGUAAAACUCUGUUAUUAGGGAAGAACAAAUGUGUAAGUAACUAUGCACGUCUUGACGGUACCUAAUCAGAAAGCCACGGCUAACUACGUG